UAAGGCGGCCCUGGCUUCAGCAAAAUGUUGUCUUUGUAGAAUAUAUAAAUAUAAAAUUUUAUCAUUUUAAAAAUUGUUGCUGAAAUUAUUUGUUUAGAAUAAAAUUAGUUUAUUUUGUCCGAUUUGUCUGAAAUUUUGCAUGUAGUGUUUUUUUAUGACUUUCAAAAACUGUGUCAAGUACGGUCCGAAUCGGUCUUUAAUCUGAUAUAGCUCCCAUAUAAACUGAUCUCCCGAUUUGACUUCUUGAGCCCUUACAAGCCUCAAUUUUUGUUCGAUUUGGCUGAAAUUUUGCAUUGCGGUGUGCUGUUACGACUUCCAACAACUGUGCCAAAUCAGUCUAUAACCUAAUAUAGCUCCCAUGUAAAGCGGUCUCUUGAUCAUCCUUGUUCCUAGAAGCUUUAAUGUUUGCUGGUUUGACAGAAGUUUGAAUCCAUGGUGUUGGGAUUCCAAGACUCGGCCCGGCCGAACUUAGCACGCUUUUACUUGUUUUUUUUUUUAAAUUUAUUUCUGUUUGAAUUUUUAUAAUUAUGAUAAAUUACUGACUUUGACAUUCCCAUUUUUUCCCAAAACGUGACAUUAUAUUGUAACAAAAAAUUUUGUUGGUUGUCUUUAUUGAAUGAGAAUAAACACAUUUUAUAUUUCA
This is a long non-coding RNA of Stomoxys calcitrans (stable fly), 643 nucleotides long. RefSeq lists it as uncharacterized. Lineage: Eukaryota; Metazoa; Arthropoda; Insecta; Diptera; Muscidae. The transcript is spliced from 2 exons. The record is from RefSeq and is a predicted model, not a curated record.